CACUGAACGUCUCCAUCUUGGCUAUGACGUUGUACUUGAUCACGCACGGCGAACAGAGAGCGUAGAUCGGCCUCCAGUGCUCGUCGAACUUCGAAGACGGAGUGUUAAUAAGAGAUGAAGACGACGGGGGAAGAAGAUGGUAUGCCGACUUGCACUUCUGGCUGACAAUUGUCGUGUGCAAGAUUUUGGCUGUAAUUUGAGAAUUACUGUCUCCCACGGAAAGAGCGACCCACUCGCGCAGAUCCAGCAGCUCCUCCUCGAUCAGCUCCUCGGCGUCAGGUUGAAGCAGGAGCGCCAGGGACACGUACAAGAGCAGAGCCACGACCCACAC
Penaeus chinensis is the source of this 331-nucleotide long non-coding RNA. RefSeq lists it as uncharacterized. The transcript has 3 exons. NCBI's taxonomy places the organism in Eukaryota, Metazoa, Arthropoda, Malacostraca, Decapoda, Penaeidae. The record is from RefSeq and is a predicted model, not a curated record.